AUGUGUUUGUUCAUUUGCGGUCUAGCUCCCGUGCGGUCAGUGUCUGGGUACAGUGAGAGCUUCAAACAAAUGAGGCCUCGUUUCAUCCCUGCAGACUGAGUGCUAUAUGACCAUGGCAACCACAGCGCCACGGUGAAAUGCCCCAGUCAAUCAAUCAGUCAAUCAAUCAAUCAGUCAAAUCAUCAUUGUUUAAAUCGUGCUUCUCUGGAUGUCCCGCAAUGCUCUGUGACGACCUCAGCACUCUGUAGGAGCUUCAGUCAUUAAGAAAGCAGCAAACUCAAGGCACCUCUCCACCCGAAAUUGACCUCUCUUCUGGCUACUCAACAUUUGUCUAUUAUGGAAGCGAACUCUUGAUGCUGCUGCGACAGACUCCAGGAUCAAGGACACGCGAGACUCCAGGAUCAAGGACACGCGAGACUCCAGGAUCAAGGACACGCGAGACUCCAGGAUCAAGGACACUCUAGACUCCAGGAUCAAGGACACGCGAGACUCCAGCACACGCGAUGCCUCCCUGCCUCUACUAGUGUCAGGGAGAAUAUGGAACUUCCUCUCUUCAAUAUUGAUGACACCUGGCAGGAGGUGGAAGAGGCGUCAUAGGAGCCAUGUGGACACCCUACUCUCUUGGUUAUUAUUUGAAGUGAUGUGCCCGUGAUUACCCCAGACCCUCCCUGGCGCCCUGUGACGAAUGGAGAGGCUGAAGGAGCAGAAAAGUAUAAGAAAAUUAAGUGGAGAGAAACCUGGAUCCCAGUCACUUCUCUGAGGAACGAGAUUGAUUUUAUAACAGAUGAGGGUGUCGCCGGGCUGGAACCGGAGCUCUUCAUCGGCGAAGCGCAGGCCACACUCCUUCCCUCGCGCUAUGCUCUCCACCUCAUCCUUCAGGUGCCGCAUGGAGGACAGCUCACCUGUAAUAACGACUUGUGUCACUGGCGAAGUACAGCCAGAUAGGACAGCAGCAAUCCUGGCAGUGAUCAACUGUUUAUGGAUGCCAAAAGUGUUCGUCGCUGAGUGCCAGGGGUCAAACUCAGGCCCUCCAAGUAGAAGUCAAUGCACACUAUAGGACUGUGUUAAUGGUGUGGGACCCAAGUGUCUGGCAAAUUACUGCUAAAGCCUCUGGCAUGGUGACCUUAAGCUCACAGGUGGCUCAAAUGCUGGGCUGCCUUGACUUCGAUAACUGGCACUCAGCGGUCCACAUUUCAAGAUUAUUUACAGCAUUAUUAUGUUAGUUUACAUAUAAAUGGUUCAUACAAAUUUACAAAUG
This is a long non-coding RNA of Eriocheir sinensis (Chinese mitten crab), 1258 nucleotides long. RefSeq lists it as uncharacterized. Lineage: Eukaryota; Metazoa; Arthropoda; Malacostraca; Decapoda; Varunidae. The record is from RefSeq and is a predicted model, not a curated record. The transcript has 5 exons.